AUACGGAGGGUGCGAGCGUUAAACGGAAUUACUGGGCGUAAAGGGUGCGUAGGCGGCUUGAUAAGUCGGAUGUGAAAGCCCCGGGCUUAACCUGGGAAUUGCAUUCGAUACUGUCAGGCUAGAGUAUGUCAGAGGUUGGCGGAAUUCCUGGUGUAGCGGUGAAAUGCGUAGAUAUCAGGAGGAACACCAGUGGCGAAGGCGGCUAACUGGGGCAAUACUGACGCUGAGGCACGAAAGCGUGGGGAGCAAACAGGAUUAGAAACCCUAGUAGUCC
RNAcentral lists this ribosomal RNA (274 nucleotides) under uncultured bacterium. RNAcentral describes it as "partial 16S ribosomal RNA". It matches the Rfam family "Bacterial small subunit ribosomal RNA", at positions 523 to 796 of the family's 1533-position model. The record is from RNAcentral.